Dermacentor albipictus is the source of this 612-nucleotide long non-coding RNA. RefSeq lists it as uncharacterized. The record is from RefSeq and is a predicted model, not a curated record. NCBI's taxonomy places the organism in Eukaryota, Metazoa, Arthropoda, Arachnida, Ixodida, Ixodidae.
GCGGUAACGUCUACGUCAUUUCCACCCAGAGGCGUGGGCGCUGCACCGGACGAAAAGGCUCUUCUCCAGGCUGCACCAAGCAUUUUGAUAGCGGCAGUCGGGGCGGACGUAAGGUUCAUACGGGAGCGCAUCAGCAUUUUACAGGGUUCGAAAGAGAGGUUACCUGAAAGAGGAGCGACACAGAGCGAGUCGGCGGCAGCAAGAUGCCAACCAUCAGUGACGAGGACAGAAAGGCUGCCACGUUCGGGACGGCCAUAUCGGCCGGAGUAUUGCUCCCAGCAGCUGCGGCUGCUGGUCCCUUUGCACCGCUGGUGGCAACAAUUGGACUAGCAAUGGCUGGUAUCGGAUGCCUUGCAGGAUUCAUUACUGUUCAGGCCCUACCAAGCGAUGAAAAAAAAAAGUAACAGGCACAUCAAAGAACGAAUACCCUAAGGCGCCCGAACGCAAAUUGACGGACGUCUCGCUUUUCAAGGGCCGUCUGUAUGGGAUAUUCAAAAGCCAGCCAACACAAUGUAGAAAGGCCUAUUUGGGAUUUCUGGAAUUAUAUAAAAGUAUUGAAGACAUUUAUGCUAUUAAUAAAAAUGAGGCGUGUCGUACCUCAUUUAUGCUAUA